Talpa occidentalis (Iberian mole) is the source of this 991-nucleotide long non-coding RNA. RefSeq lists it as uncharacterized. The record is from RefSeq and is a predicted model, not a curated record. The transcript is spliced from 3 exons. Lineage: Eukaryota; Metazoa; Chordata; Mammalia; Eulipotyphla; Talpidae.
UCAACCCAGCCAGGCAGAUGACAGAGAUGCCCGGUGGAGGGAGGUCUGCUCCCUGGGCUCUCCCCGGGCUGCGACGUCGUCCUGUUCCACAGCCGGUGUCCUCUGCAGGGCUUCAGGUGGGGGGCAGAACAUUAGGGCCUCCGUCCACACACCAGCGUCCUAGAUCGACUGUUCUGCUUGUCGGUGGUAUUGACCCAAGCCUGGGAGGGCAGGCCUGGGUCUUCCUCAGUUGCGAGGCUCUGUCCCGGCUGUAUCCUGGGCAAGAGUGAGUGGAAGUCCGUCCUGGUGGAGGGGAUGAGCUGGCCAGAUUCCUCCUGCCCUGGAGCAGACAGAGGCCACCUGCCUUUGACAGAGGUGGCCGCAAACCUGGCCACAGGGAGCAGAGGUGACUGGGAUUAACCUGGACCCUGCCGCUCCCCCACCUCAGCCCCCAGCCUGGGUGCGGGAGAUUUAGGUGAGCUGCAUAUCUUGGGGCCUGCCCAUGUUUCUGAGUUCUCACUGGGGAGGCUCUGAGAACUUUCACUUCAGACACAGCGGACCGAACCCAGAGAAGCAAACUUCCCAACCUGCGCUAAGACUGGUUUCCAGGCCAGCACUCACGUGAGGCGGGUCUGAACCCCUCCCCAGGCUGGCAGCACAGCAUCCCUGGAGGAAGCUCCAAAACCAGAGGGGCGGAACAAGUGGGGUGCAGCCCCAAGCUUCGCAAGUCAUCCCUAAAGCCCACUACUCACCUCGAACAAGGACAACCUGCUCAGCGUGGCCUGAACCCAUGGCAUUGGUGACUGUGCAGAUGAAGGUGGUGUUGACCAGCUUGUCCACCGAGUGGAUGACCAGCUGGGGGCCGCGGGCUACAGCUGAGGCUGGGAAGACGCCUGAAGUCCUGGAGGGUGUGGGGAUCACAUGAGGGGGACGAUAGGGUCAUAGACUCUGUCCCUGAUGACAUAGCCCUCAGGAGUCAAAUUCCAUAUACCUAAAAAUACUGUUUGAGACC